This 484-nucleotide ribosomal RNA is filed under the name uncultured bacterium. Its description in RNAcentral is "partial 16S ribosomal RNA". It matches the Rfam family "Bacterial small subunit ribosomal RNA", at positions 30 to 507 of the family's 1533-position model. The record is from RNAcentral.
AUUGAACGCUGGCGGCAGGCCUAACACAUGCAAGUCGAGCGGAUGAAGGGAGCUUGCUCCUGGAUUCAGCGGCGGACGGGUGAGUAAUGCCUAGGAAUCUGCCUGGUAGUGGGGGAUAACGUCCGGAAACGGGCGCUAAUACCGCAUACGUCCUGAGGGAGAAAGUGGGGGAUCUUCGGACCUCACGCUCUCAGAUGAGCCUAGGUCGGAUUAGCUAGUUGGUGGGGUAAAGGCCUACCAAGGCGACGAUCCGUAACUGGUCUGAGAGGAUGAUCAGUCACACUGGAACUGGGACACGGUCCAGACUCCUACGGGAGGCAGCAGUGGGGAAUAUUGGACAAUGGGCGAAAGCCUGAUCCAGCCAUGCCGCGUGUGUGAAGAAGGUCUUCGGAUUGUAAAGCACUUUAAGUUGGGAGGAAGGGCAGUAAGUUAAUACCUUGCUGUUUUGACGUUACCAACAGAAUAAGCACCGGCUAACUUCGUG